Daphnia pulicaria is the source of this 488-nucleotide long non-coding RNA. RefSeq lists it as uncharacterized. The record is from RefSeq and is a predicted model, not a curated record. NCBI's taxonomy places the organism in Eukaryota, Metazoa, Arthropoda, Branchiopoda, Diplostraca, Daphniidae. The transcript has 3 exons.
UCUCGUCAUUAUUGAUUAAUAUGUCUAAGGUUUCAGCUAUUUUAAUUGCCGUGCACUUUUCUCUCCUCUUUAGUUUUUUCUCUCCGAUUAUGAUAAUAGGGACCGGACGGAACGCAAUAUAACGCACAAAUGAGAGCCAGAGGAGAAAUAGAAUGAAAGCUCGAAAAAUUGAUGGGACAAGGUGUCGAACUCUACUCUCGCCAGCCUUUAGCGUCAAACGUUAUCAUCCUUAAAUCUCUCAACGCAUCUCCACUGCCUAGUUAGUUAAAGGAAAAGUUAAACUUAAUUUUAAUUUAGUUUAUCGUCGCUGCUCUCUUGGCCGAUGCUGUCGCCGCUCCUUCCGGCUACCAAUCAACCCAUAGAGAUUCCAGUUACUUGACGUCUCCCAGCAACGCUUCUUCCGGCUACAACAAGGACAGCAAAUAUGGCGGAAUCACCAUCACCAGCCAACACGACGUCCGCAAUCUCGACGGAAGCUGCAAAUGAGG